Molecule: ribosomal RNA, 1565 nt
Filed under: Vittatidera zeaphila
Lineage: Eukaryota; Metazoa; Nematoda; Chromadorea; Rhabditida; Heteroderidae
Description: SSU rRNA
Rfam family: Eukaryotic small subunit ribosomal RNA
Source: RNAcentral
AUGCAUGUAUAAGUGUAACCUGCCAGACAGGGAAACUGCGUACGGCUCAUUACACCAGCUAUAAUUUACUUGACCUUGACAACUUACUUGGAUAACUGUGGUAAUUCUAGAGCUAAUACAUGCACCAAAGCUCCAAUCUCCCCAGAGCGGAGCGCAUUUGUUCGCCACAAAACCAAGCGCCCUCCGGGCGUCCAGUGUUGACUCAGAACAACUAAGCUGAUCGCACGGUCUUGCACCGGCGACGUGUCUUUCAAGUGUCUGCCUUAUCAACUUUCGAUGGUAGUGUAUCUGACUACCAUGGUGAUGACGGGUAACGGAGGAUAAGGGUUCGACUCCGGAGAAGGGGCCUGAGAAAUGGCCACUACGUCUAAGGAUGGCAGCAGGCGCGCAAAUUACCCACUCUCAACAUGAGGAGGUAGUGACGAGAAAUAACGAGACCGAUCUCUAUUGAGGCCGGUCAUCGGAAUGGGUACAAUUUAAACCCUUUAACGAGUAUCUAUGAGAGGGCAAGUCUGGUGCCAGCAGCCGCGGUAAUUCCAGCUCUCAAAAUGCAUAGAAUUAUUGCUGCGGUUAAAAAGCUCGUAGUUGGAUCUGUGCUAGCCGUCCGGUCCACCCUCUGGGUGUGCACUGGCACGGUUGGCUUUUUUGCUGGUCUCUCCCCGGCGUUGGCCUUCACUGGUCGGCGUCGGUGGGCUAGCGAGUUUACUUUGAACAAAUCAGAGUGCUUCAAACAGGCGUUUCGCUUGAAUGUUCGUGCAUGGAAUAAUAGAAGAGGAUUUCGGUCCGAUUUUAUUGGUUUUGCUGACCGAGAUAAUGGUUAACAGAGACAAACGGGGCCAUUCGUAUUGCUACGUGAGAGGUGAAAUUCUUGGACCGUAGCAAGACGGACUACAGCGAAAGCAUUUGGCAAGAAUGUCUUCAUUAAUCAAGAACGAAAGUCAGAGGUUCGAAGGCGAUCAGAUACCGCCCUAGUUCUGACCGUAAACGAUGCCAACUAGCGAUCCGCCGGCGGAUUUAUUCGCCCUGGUGGGGAGCUUCCCGGAAACGAAAGUCUUCCGGUUCCGGGGGAAGUAUGGUUGCAAAGCUGAAACUUAAAGGAAUUGACGGAAGGGCACCACCAGGAGUGGAGCCUGCGGCUUAAUUUGACUCAACACGGGAAAACUCACCCGGCCCGGACACCGUAAGGAUUGACAGAUUGAUAGCUUUUUCAUGAUUCGGUGGAUGGUGGUGCAUGGCCGUUCUUAGUUCGUGGAGCGAUUUGUCUGGUUUAUUCCGAUAACGAGCGAGACUCUGGCCUACUAAAUAGUUGGCUCAUUGCUACUGUGGGCACAACUUCUUAGAGGGAUUUUCGGUGUUCAGCCGCACGAAAUUGAGCAAUAACAGGUCUGUGAUGCCCUUAGAUGUCCGGGGCUGCACGCGCGCUACACUGGCAAAAUCAACGUGCUUGUCCUUCCCCGAAAGGGGUUGGUAAACCGGUGAAAAUUUGCCGUGAUUGGGAUCGGACAUUGCAAUUAUUGUCCGUGAACGAGGAAUUCCUUGUAGGGGCGAGUCAUCAACUCGCUCUG